UACAGAGGUGGCAAGCGUUGUUCGGAAUUACUGGGCGUAAAGGGCGCGUAGGCGGCCUUCUAAGUCAGACGUGAAAUCCCCAGGCUUAACUUGGGAACUGCGUCUGAUACUGGGAGGCUUGAGUGCGGGAGAGGGAUGUGGAAUUCCAGGUGUAGCGGUGAAAUGCGUAGAUAUCUGGAGGAAUACCGAUGGCGAAGGCAGGUCUCUGGGCUGACACUGACGCUCAUGCACGAAAGCGUGGGGAGCAAACAGG
This 253-nucleotide ribosomal RNA is filed under the name uncultured bacterium. RNAcentral's name for it is "partial 16S ribosomal RNA". It matches the Rfam family "Bacterial small subunit ribosomal RNA", at positions 524 to 776 of the family's 1533-position model. The record is from RNAcentral.